This 454-nucleotide long non-coding RNA is filed under the name Pongo abelii (Sumatran orangutan). RNAcentral describes it as "lincRNA". Lineage: Eukaryota; Metazoa; Chordata; Mammalia; Primates; Hominidae. The record is from RNAcentral.
GCUGGGUCUUCUGGGCACAGGGACUCCUAGAUGAGUGGGGUAGGGGCUGAGGAAUGCAAAUGAGAUGUCAGUGUGCCCUUUCCUCAGCCCAUUCAAAGUCUGUAGCCCUGGAUUGAAUGAACUGGAGGAGAAGCUUAUUUGCCAGGGAGUGGGAAGCAGAAACCCAGGUGUUUGGUUACCUGGGGCCUGCCUCUCCUUCAGCCUGAGAUAUGGAGAGAGCAGGGCUGGAAGGACUCCCCACCCCCACCUCAGCCUCACUUCCCUCUCUGCGUCCCUACUUGGCUGUCCUUGCUUCAGUCUGCCCCUGCCCCACCUCCCACCUCCAGCUACUGCCCUACAAGUCAAGGAAUGUUUGGGCCCCAGGGGUAGAGCUGGGGGUUGGAUAAGGGUAAGACUGCACAGGGGCCAGAUGGGCUGGUUUGGAGAAGGGUAAUGAGAUCCCAGGAAGAGAGGG